This 1199-nucleotide long non-coding RNA is filed under the name Pan troglodytes (chimpanzee). Its description in RNAcentral is "long non-coding RNA NONPTRT000921". The record is from RNAcentral. Lineage: Eukaryota; Metazoa; Chordata; Mammalia; Primates; Hominidae.
GCAGAAGGCAGGAGGAGGGAGGGGAGGAGGGGGAGGGAGGGAGAGAGGGAAUCCAGCUACCACCACCCAAAGCCAGCGUCUGCUUUCUGUCCUCAUUUCCUUUUCCCACCCAGCUUGGAGAGCAGAGAAAGGCAGAGAGAGCGAGAAAUAGAGACAGUCUGAGAGACAGACAGACAGCCAGAGAGAGCGGGAGGGAGGAGGGCGGAGGAGGAGGAGCAGGAGGACUACGCGGGGCGCGUUCCCUCCCAGCAGCCGGGCGCCCGCGUCGCUGCCACCGCCGGAAGACAGACGUCCCCCAAAACCCCUCGCCUGGCUCGGACCCACGGAGCCGGCAGCCCAGCACUCCGAUGGGAGCUUGCCUGAUUGUCAACCCAUCGGCCUGGACCCCAGAGCCCACCCAGCUGAGCGUGUGCAGAGGGCCCCGAGUGCGGGGCGACGCUCAGGCCGUUGCAGAGACCACCCUGGAGAUGCUGAUGAAGACAGGCCUUUCCUGCUGAGCCCAGCCUAUCUUCGCAGCCUGCUCAGAAAGGGGAACUGAGGCUCAUGGAUAUACAGUGAGUCCUACCUCCUAGCCUGAGGACUCUUCCCUGCGCCUUGAUGACCUGAGAGAACUGGGAGGAGAAAGGGGUUGUGACAAUGACCAGGACUCAGGGCAGAGGUGGAAACCAGAGUGCCUGAUGUGUGCAGCUGCUGACCCCCCAGGACACCUCUCUACCGGAGUCUGUGGAAGCAGAGAACUGGGAGGCCAAGGCGCUGUCCACGCCCCGAGGCCUGGGCUCAGGCCGAAGUUGCUCCACAGCACCCCCAGCUGACAGCCAGCGACUGGCAGAGCCCCCAGGCACGGGGGCCCUCUCUCUUCCAGAGAUCUCCAGUGUGACAGCCCAGGCGGCAGAGCCGAGGGUGAGUGGUGGGGGUUCUCCUGGAGCCCUUUCGGGGUAAGAAGGAGGGAGGCCGUGCCCUUGUUAGAACUUCCUGGCCUUCUCCUUAAGUUUGAUCACCCUGCUGAUGUGCUUCCCUCUCAAAGGCAGGGGUCCUGUUCUUCCUGAGUGCAUAGCCAGAUUCCCAAAGGGGAUGAGCUGUCAAUAAGUGAAACUGGGCCGGGCAUGGUGGCUCACGCCUGUAAUCCCAGUAUUUUGGGAGGCUGAGGCGAGUGGAUCAUCUGAGGUCAGGAGCUCCAGACCAGCCUGGCCAACUUGGUG